CCUACGGGAGGCAGCAGUGGGGAAUAUUGGACAAUGGGGGGAACCCUGAUCCAGCGACGCCGCGUGAGUGAAGAAGUAUUUCGGUAUGUAAAGCUCUAUCAGCAGGGAAGAAAGAAAUGACGGUACCUGACCAAGAAGUCCAGGCUAACUACGUGCUAGCAGCCGCGGUAAUACGUAGGGGGCAAGCGUUAACCGGAUUUACUGGGGGUAAAGGGAGCGUAGACGGUUACGCAAGUCUGGAGUGAAAGGCGGGGGCUCAACCCCCGUACUGCUUUGGAAACUGGAUAACUGGAGUGUAGGAGAGGUAAGUGGAAUUCCUAGUGUAGCGGUGAAAUGCGUAGAUAUUAGGAGGAACACCAGUGGCGAAGGCGGCUUACUGGACUGUAACUGACGUUGAGGCGCGAAAGCGUGGGGAGCAAACAGGAUUAGAUACCCUUGUAGUC
Molecule: ribosomal RNA, 443 nt
Filed under: uncultured bacterium
Lineage: Bacteria
Description: partial 16S ribosomal RNA
Rfam family: Bacterial small subunit ribosomal RNA
Source: RNAcentral